RNAcentral lists this ribosomal RNA (253 nucleotides) under uncultured bacterium. RNAcentral's name for it is "partial 16S ribosomal RNA". It matches the Rfam family "Bacterial small subunit ribosomal RNA", at positions 524 to 776 of the family's 1533-position model. The record is from RNAcentral.
GACAGAGGGUGCAAACGUUGCUCGGAAUUACUGGGCGUAAAGCGCGUGUAGGCGGUCCACCAAGUCAGGCGUGAAAUCCCUGGGCUCAACCCAGGAACUGCACCUGAAACUGGCGGUCUUGAGUGGUGGAGAGGGAAGCAGAAUUCCUGGUGUAGAGGUGAAAUUCGUAGAUAUCAGGAGGAACACCGGUGGCGAAGGCGGCUUCCUGGACCGACACUGACGCUGAGGCGCGAAAGCUAGGGGAGCAAACGGG